CUCCCUAACCAAGUUCACCGUCUCUGACCACAUAGCAUCCGCUUCCCCAGAACUUCUCCAAGCUCCGCCCUCAGCUAACCUCCUUUCCAACUCCUGUGCUUUCUCCUUAUUCAAAACACCCCAUCUAAUCCGCGGUUGUCCCCGAACACCCCUCCUCUUCCUCUUCACACAGAGACCGACAUCCAUCACUAGGAGUCUAUGAAGAGUCGAAAGGGACUCUCCCAGAAUAACC
This 232-nucleotide long non-coding RNA is filed under the name Nicotiana benthamiana. RNAcentral's name for it is "long non-coding RNA (NBEN_LNC013613)". Lineage: Eukaryota; Viridiplantae; Streptophyta; Magnoliopsida; Solanales; Solanaceae. The record is from RNAcentral.